Molecule: long non-coding RNA, 768 nt
Filed under: Drosophila guanche
Lineage: Eukaryota; Metazoa; Arthropoda; Insecta; Diptera; Drosophilidae
Source: RNAcentral
GAAGAAUAAAUAGACUCUAAAUAUAUCGGCUUAUCCAUAUAGAAUCUUCUAUCAGAUAAUAUACAAAUUUCGUCAAAUGUUUUAUGAGAAAUCGUUCCUGCCAAUUUCUAUCGCCUUUUCUAUCUUUAGCUGCGAAUCACACAUUUUCCUUUAAAUUGAGACAGAGAAAGAGCAUCGACAAUAGCCUUCUGAAAAUCACCUCCAUACCCCCCACAACAACUUCUCAACUUUAUCCUUGAACUUUUGGUUUGUUGGUUUUUCGAUUCCUGUUGCCGUAUUUGCUACGUUUUACUCGUUUUUCUUUCCUUUUUCCCACCUUUUGCACCUGGCAAGACAAAUCACACAAACUGACACGAGGAAACAAAAAGCCGAGAAAAAGAAAAACAAUUCCAAAACGUGUUUAACAUUUUUCCAUCUUUAUUUCACAUUUUAAACAAUUUUUCUUCUCUGCUUUCCUAAACUUUGUUGGUCUCCAAAGAUUUUACUAACCCUAACAAAGAGCGGGAGAGCAAGAGAGAUGGAGAAUAGAAAGAGAGAAGCUUGGAGAAAAUUGUUUUUUUUUUUUUUUGCUUUAAUUUUCGGCAAUUUUUCUUAUGCCAGAAAGAAAAAUGGAGUUGUCGUUUGUUCCGGCUACCCCGCCGGUCUGACAAUUUUGGGGGUGGCUUUCCUUUUGGCUUUUCCGUGCUUUCCUUUUUUUUUGGGGUUUUCCUUUUUUUUUUUUUUGGUUUUGCUGCUGCUGCUGCUUUGGCAGGCUAUUCGCUUGCCUUU